This 16-nucleotide transfer RNA is filed under the name Paraserianthes lophantha subsp. lophantha. RNAcentral's name for it is "partial tRNA-Gln". Lineage: Eukaryota; Viridiplantae; Streptophyta; Magnoliopsida; Fabales; Fabaceae. The record is from RNAcentral.
AUCCCUUCCGUCCCAG